Long non-coding RNA from Neofelis nebulosa (Clouded leopard), 3118 nucleotides. RefSeq lists it as uncharacterized. The transcript has 2 exons. The record is from RefSeq and is a predicted model, not a curated record. Lineage: Eukaryota; Metazoa; Chordata; Mammalia; Carnivora; Felidae.
UCUGGUGCUGCCCUCCCGGCCCAGAGAGCUAGAUCAAAUCCGCCUUCCUGAAGACCGCUGUCGCUGCAGAUGGCUUUGUGUGCCCCUGGGCCUCCGUCUCUGGGUGAAACGCCGCCACAGCCCACAAGACCAUCGCUGGACUCCUCGCCGGCCACGUGGCCUCUCUCUGGAUGCGACCCAGGUAGAUGAAUUGGGCACCGACUGUGAACGGAGCACUGGCUGGGCGCUGGGGAUGUGAUGAUGGUGAACACGGUCGCAGAUCCGCCUCCGAGAACUCGCCAUCUAGUUAAGGACGACGUGCUAAGGGAAACCGCGUAUGUUCCGUGGUGUUAGGUGCUGGGCGGAAUGAUAAACACGUAAUGAUAAAUAUUACAUAGGUAACAUGACGUGCAUGGGACAAGUACACAUCAUUAGGGAGGGAAGAGGGGGGUAGGUCCCCGGACAGGAGGGGUCCUCGUAGCAAAGCAUCCAGUACACUCGAUGACUCACUAUUCCAGGUGGGCGUGUCCCUGCUCCACCUUCAGGGACCCUGAUUCCCCGAGUCACUGCCCUGCCGCCCCCUAAGAUAACGUCUUCGUCUGUAGAGUUGAGGCCGGUCGCGGGCCUGUCCCGGGUCCCGCCUGAGGAAAAGGGGGAAAGACAGCAAACCCAGGGCAACCGUCUCCUUUGGGGCAAGCGACAAGUCACACAGUUUGUUCUCUCGCAAAUCUCGCGUGGGCAUCGAGUCACGUGGCCGCACAGGGCCACAAGGGGAGCCGGGAAAUGUAGUCUUUGUGGGGAGACUAGGUGACCAGAACGAAGAAGAGAGUGGACUGGCGCAGUCAGGGGGAGCCACCAGCCCUCACAUGGUCUGUACGAGGAAACAAGUGGGGAUUUCUUAAUAAGGUAAACAGGGGAGCCCUCCUUGGGGGUGACUUCCAAGAAAAGACCUGGACAAGGUGAAGGAGUGAGCCGUACAGUUUUCUGGGGGGAAAGCACUUCCAGGCAUCAGAGACACAGAGUCCCUAUCACCUGCAGGAAACAGGAGGGACAUCUGGGGGGCUGGAGUCGGUGGAUGAUAGGGAGACUGGGGGACUGAGGUCGCAGAGGUGGCCUGGCCGAGGUGGCCUUAGAGUCCUUGGCCGUGACCCGGCUUUUCCUCUGAGUGGGCACAGGCCACGGGAGGCUUGUGAGCAGGGAAGGGACAUGAUGGGUCUCGCAUUGUGCCACCCCUGUGUCCUGCAUGUGGUCCCCCCUGCUCCCGCCCGAGCCCUCUCGGGGCCCCCAGGCACCUGCACGGCCCUCACCCCCUAGACAUCACCUCCCCCACAGAACCUUCCAUCCACCCUGCAAGACUGCACGGUGUUGGGGGGAGGGGGGGUUGCCUGCCAGGCAUCGGGGCAAGAACAGGCCUGCCUGCAUGGUCCACCUGUGGCUGAGCACACAGUCUGGAGCACAGAGGGGCAAUCAGGACGUUUCUCUGAAUUAAUUCGUAUUAGAAGGAGAUUUCUCCCCGAGACUGACAACCCGAGACGAGCCAACUGACCUCCUGUCUUCUCUGUGGGUCUCCAGAAUCCUGCACGUCCAGGAAAACACACAACCGACCACAGCCUAAGAGCUCAGAACUUGCUAGAACACUGCACGGAUGUUGUGUGUGAACGCGGCUCUAGAAUUCUCAAAGCGUCUGAUGCACCUGCCAGCACCCUCAGGGAGGAGACGAGCUGUGGCCUGGGUGGGGACAGUCACCUCGCACACAUCCUGCCGCCCAUGCAAAGUGUCUGGUGGGUACUGCUCGGCACGGAGGCUUCGGGAAUGGGGAAGAUGCGAUCCUCGUCUUCAACGAGUCUGUAGUCUACGGAGACAGCUGACAAAUAAGUCUGCGAUUAACGUCACCGGGCAGGUAUGGGAAAGCACAGAGGAGGGGGUGUCCUGGCAACGGACCCUGGAGGUGACCCCGUAUGUCAUAUGAACGUGUGCGUGAGGGGAAGGAGGGAAGAGGGGUUCAGGGGUUGUCCCAGGCGCAGGGAGCAGCCCUUGUGAAGACCAGGAGGCCGGUGGGGGUCGGGGUGGGGCAGAGACCAAGGAGAGAACUUAGAAAGCAGGCCGAGAAGCAGCAUGGAAAGUUCCAUAGUGAGAGGGCUCAGUGAGGCGUGCAGGGGAGCUGGUGUGUAAGACAGAGAUGGCUGUGUGUGCGGAAGCGGGAGUGACUUGGGAGGGGGCCGCAGAGACGUGGAGACCCCAGCAGCACCAUCCAUCGCAGCACGGCGACGACCACGGGCGCCGUUUUCACCCGUCAGGCCAACUACGGAUGCACGUCUGACAAGAUCAGGUGUUUGGUGACGACGCAGGGAGAGGGGUCCCGGAUCCCACAGGGAGGACUGAGAAUCGCUGUGUAUUAACCGUGUCUUUGUCUUCUGUGCUGAUACAUGGACACUGGGUCCUUGCCGGCCCCACACAUUAGGAAGGAGACGAUGUCAGUGCCCGCCCCGCAGGACGCAGGACGGACAGAUCACACCUGGGAAGUGUCCAGACAAGCAGAUCCGGACACGUUCGCCGCAGGCGCUUUUGCGACGGUGGAAAAUUGGGAACAGCCUGGCGAACGGCAUGACGGCGGUGUGGGCACCGGGAGGGUCGCUGCAGCCCCGAGGGGGGCGUUCGUCUCCACGUGGGAGCCCGGUUGAGGUUGAGUAAGAGGGGCAACUCGUGGAACCAGCUGUGCGGCGAGAUGUGAUUUACGGGGAAAAACGUGAGCACCGAAGAAGAGAGAGACGUGAUGGAGACGGGGUCGAGUCCAGGUCAGCGACAGCAGGUGGAGUCAGCGGGGAGAGGUGGUCCGAGGUACUACCGUUGGAUUUCUAUGACUUUUAUUUUGUUUUCAUUAUUUAAUUUAAUGUAUUUGGAUUUUUUUUUUUUGGUUAUUAUGGAUCGCUUAGGUGAUUAAAAAUUUAUCUGAGAUGCAGAAGGUGGGGUGCCUGGGGGGCUCAGUGUGUUAAGCCUCCGACUCUCCAUUUCAGCUCAAGUCAUGAUCUCGUGGUUCGUGGGAUCGAGCCCCGUGUCAGGCUCUGCAUUGAGCGUGGAGCCUGCUUGGGAUUGUCUCCCUUUUUCUCUCAAACAAAUUAAAUUGAAAUGAAAAUGCUAA